This is a long non-coding RNA of Hydractinia symbiolongicarpus, 3134 nucleotides long. RefSeq lists it as uncharacterized. The transcript has 6 exons. Lineage: Eukaryota; Metazoa; Cnidaria; Hydrozoa; Anthoathecata; Hydractiniidae. The record is from RefSeq and is a predicted model, not a curated record.
AUGUAGUAUUGAUUAAAUCACACGUACGGAGUAGUGCGAUAUGUUGGUUUCCCCUUUCGUCGCGGCGGCAGCGGCGGUCUUCAGGAAAGUUUUAUCACACUGGAUUCGAAUCAUUGUUACUGCUCAUUUCACUGGAUGAAAAAAUUCCUUACUAUUUUCUUGCGUAAACGGAAAGCUAAUGUUGUGCUUUCUUGAUAUAAAGUUAAAAAACCAGACCUUUAUCUUUUCUACAGCUGUUUUUAUUAUUGAAGCAUGGCUCUUAGUUAAGAUGAAGAAAGAAGCUGUUGUUGCUGAAAUUUUUUAAGCAAAAAUGAAGUGAAGAAAAAAUGAUAAUUUUGAAACCAACAAUUUUUAGAAUAAUUUAAAAUGACGCUUGGUGUUUUAAAUCUAUGUUUGUAGAGUUCUGUUUGUCGAGUUUCUUGUAGCUCGCCAGAAUAUUUGCAGGAAAAUUUUUCUUUUUCCAUUUCAGCGAAACAAACAAACAAACAAACAAAUCAAUUUCCAUUAUUAUGUGUAAUUCGUCAUGUAUUAAAGAGUUGUAGCUAAGAAUUUGUGUGUCGUAUAAUCAUAAUUUGUGCUUUUUCUAGAUGAUGUUGCAAUAACAUAUAAAGUUCAAACUUUAUGCAAGAAAAGUACGAAAAAUAUAAAAUUUAUAGGGGAACUCCCACCUCAAAAAACCUUUUUCUCAUAUCGUCAAUAAUGCUGCCUUAAGCUGAAUUCAAUAAUUAUUUUGCACAAUUCAUUAGUGUAACUUAGAAAUAUUGUAUUCUUUCUUACCAUUUUUACCAAACGUUCUGCCUUCGACAGUAUGGCGGGCUUCCUCUCCAAAACGGUCUAGUUCAGCGGAUGCGAGAAAAAUGUAAACAAAUGACGUAGAGCCGGCUAUGAAGUAAAUUGCUUAAGCGGAAUUAAACAACCCCCUGUUUUUAUAAAGGAAAUCUGUUUAUGGCGCGCCGCAGGUUCCUAUUUUUUUUUUUAUUUUAUUUUUUUUUUUCGAAUAAAAAAUUAAUUCAGAAGUAAAACAUUUACAAAAUUUUCUUGCAAUAUAACGAAAGACUUGGCAAAGUUUUGUAGAAAAAAGAAAUUUUGAGAAUGGAUGCGUCUUGUGCUGCCGCAGGCUGUCAAAACCACAUAAAAGGGAAUCUGGAGUUAUCAUUUUUCCAAAUCCUGCGUGAUAAAUCUGCAGCAAGCAUGAAAAGAACUGAUCUUCCAAAAACUAUUUAUUUAUGCGAGGAGCACUUCCAAAACAACUGCUUUGAUAAGUCCAUCGAUUUAAGAAAUCAACUAAUGAAGAUACGCAUAGUAAACAACGUUUUUUCUUUGUGUUAGUCCAGUUAUUAUCGGAGGGACUGGUAAGAAGGUUGUGAUACUGAACACAGUGUAUAUUGCGAAUGUGUGAAUUAGUGGUUCGUAUUACACGAUUUAAAAAAGCACCUCGUAAACUGGUUUAAGGGGCUGUUCUAACGAUCUUUGCACGCAAGCCUGAACAUAGCAAAAGAGUUAGUGUCGUUGAGAAGUUACAAAAAAGGAAGGUGAAAGCAUGGGGAAUUUCUGUACAUAUAUAUUUUUGGCUGCUUCUUCUUCGCUUUUUUUGUUUUCUUUUUCAUGAAAAGUACAUUCUAGGUUAUUAUAGCUGCGAUGGCGACAGCAGAAGCCGAGGAUUUAAAUUCUGAACAUGAAGAACAGAAUUUACUCCUGGAUGCCGACAAUGACGACAUCUUUUUGCGGAACUGCGUCCCUACGCAGCCAAAAGUUGCUACCACUGAAUGCAAAGGUUCACAAGUGAAUGUCAAGGCAAAUCGAGCAAAACAAAAUUUACGUUGAUUAUUUUGUUCAAAAUUGCAAACAUUCUUAUAGUUUAUUUCGCCCAAUGUAGCCAAACAUCAGGCGCAAAAAAGUUCAUGUCACUAAAGAAAACUUCGCAAAAUCAUUCUCCGUGGCAAUACAAACAGAUUUACUCGAAGAUGAUUUACCGACAGAUUAGAUUGCGAUCAUUGAUCAUUUAUGCACCAUACUUGAUAUGCCUCUGUUGAAACCAGUUAUCUUGGAUUUUAUUCACAGUACCGAGAAACAAAAGGCCAUCACCUAUGAAAAUGCACGACGUAAAUACAUCGACAACUAACCUCGACGUUUAUUUAUAAUCAACACCAACAAAACAACGAUUUAAUAAAGAAGCAGCUUCAACUACUAUGACAAAUAGCAUGAGGCACGACGAUGAAGUCUUGAAUGAUAGUUGGUUACUCACAUCCAUGAAGAGAUCGGAACGCUCAGAUCCGGACUUCAAACCUGCAAUGAAAGUCACUGUACACACGUCUGCUGACCAAUCAAAGGGUGUACGAAAUACGAAAGGGUGUUUUGGUGUACGAAUCAAAGUUAAAACAACUGCUUUCGAAGUGCUUAAAAUGUGGAAGUUUCGUUUAUGACAUAAAAGAACUAAAGAGUUUGGACAGUCAAUACAAAGUCACCGUGGAAGGUUUAAAUGGUUGUUCAACAUCCUGGUCUUCGCAGCCGGAAGUUGAUUCAAUUGUUCAGAGAAUUUAAUGGUAACUGCAGCAGCUGAGCAUGUUGGUGUACCAUUUUCAAAAUUGAGAAGAUUUGCCUACGUGUUGAACUUAAUUUUUAUUGAGAAGGCGACAUUUUACAGGCUCCGUGGUACGCUUUUUGUAAUUUUUUGGUCUUACAUCUCGAGAAAUUGAUAAUAAUGUGUGAUAAAACUAUGUUCAGGUGAUUAUGUGUUUCCUGCCAUCGAUCACGCUUGGAAAGUUCAUCAACAAAAUUUGGUUGUAGAGCUUCGAGCAGUUAAAUUAAAUAUAGGUAUUGAUGGUCAGUGUCACACGCUAGGACACAAUGCGACUUACUGCACUGUCACCGCCAUGGAUUUUACCAGCAGUGAAGUGCUCGAAGUACAAGUUGUCAAUGUAAAGGAUGACAAAAUCUCACAUUUGUUUCUUCAAUUGUAAUCAAAUAUUUUAUUCUCUCAAAGAAAAGCGAAUGAUAAUAAAUAAAAAUACUUCUUUUUUAGGAAAUCGUUCAUAUCAAAACUUAAUCUUUGAUGUAACAUAUACAUUUAUCUAUAUUACAAUUUCCAACGUCUGUCUGUCUACCUUCCUGCUUGUUCGCCUAACAUAGUCAUA